RNAcentral lists this unclassified non-coding RNA (333 nucleotides) under soil metagenome. RNAcentral describes it as "partial contains 5.8S ribosomal RNA, internal transcribed spacer 2, and large subunit ribosomal RNA". The stretch from base 1 to 120 matches the Rfam family "5.8S ribosomal RNA", at positions 35 to 154 of the family's 154-position model. The record is from RNAcentral.
GAUGAAGAACGCAGCGAAAUGCGAUAAGUAAUGUGAAUUGCAGAAUUCAGUGAAUCAUCGAAUCUUUGAACGCACAUUGCGCCCGCCAGUAUUCUGGCGGGCAUGCCUGUUCGAGCGUCAUUUCAACCAUCAAGCCCUGCUUGCGUUGGGGUCCUGCGGCUGCCCGCAGGCCCUGAAAACCAGUGGCGGGCUCGCUAGUCACACCGAGCGCAGUAAUACAUCUCGCUUUGGGCGUGCGGCGGGUUCUUGCCGUUAAACACCCCCUUUUUACCAAGGUUGACCUCGGAUCAGGUAGGAAUACCCGCUGAACUUAAGCAUAUCAAAAGCGGAGGA